GAAAAGAUGCAUGGUGCUUUAAACCAUCGCAGGCUUCUGCUCCUCAGCCCCUCCUCCUCUCCUUUCCAUUCCUUUUGCUUGGGCUUGAAACCACUGCUCCAUGACACUGGACAUUACACAUAGAAUAAAAAUGAGCCUCUGGUGUAGGUAAGGUCUCUGAAUAUGUAGGUGAGUAUUAGUUUGUGUGCGAGAGGAGCCGGGCAACUUCACACCAGGACAGAAUUUGAGACAAAGAGGAAAAACAGACGGCAGGUCAACCUGAGAGGACGCGGGGACCACGGCACACGCAUUCUCAGCCAUCUCAUUUCCUAAUUUUAGUUUCACUCCUAUAUAAAGUAGCUACACACAGAUACAGUAACAAACACACAGCGUUUCCAUCACAUUAGAAGAUGUUACUUUGACUUGCAUUCAUUUCCUGGAGACUUCUAACCAUAGCUGCUGCUGUGUAACCCUUUCCAACACCUUAGGUCAACUCUUCAUGAUUGUAUUUAACCAAAUUACUGUUCACACAAGGAAUCUGCAUACACACACACACACACACACACAGGCACUCCCCCUGACUGUGUAGUGGCCUUCCUUUUGCCUACAGCUCCAGGUCACUGAUCGCACUCUGUGUGACCUUUAGGCCAUGAUACUUUCAGUGUCCUAUUUGCUUCCAGUUACUAUGUUAGAUCCAUUUUCAUUAGUUCAAUGCCAAAUUCACUCCUGUUAAUACCUUUUAAUGGUGGUUCUGAAAAGCACCAGCAAAUAUUAUAGUAUAUAAUUGUGCUGAAAUUAAAUUGAAAGCUAUAUUUGUAACCAUCUGUAAUUUUGACCUUAGAACUGAAGAAGCUUCUUGGAUGAGAGGUGAAACGUCUUCAAGCAACUCAAAGAAGUCCAGAUGCUUUUCUUUGCAAGCUCCUUUGACUACGAUGACCUGGAUGACUGAGAACCUUCACAGACAUCUGUAGUUAUUAAUUUAAAGUGAAGACCCAAACAAAAUGAGGGUUUUUUUUCUUUUUAUGUUUUGUUUUCACUACAUAACAAAAUUGGUCUAUUUUAACCAGGGUGAGAAAGGAAAGGUCACUUUUCAACAGCAGCUCAGUCAAGUUAGCAAAAUUAAUAGUAAUUUUUGUUAAUUUUGGGUCAUUUUUUAUAAUAAUAUUUGCAGCUAAAUAUCACAUUUUCAUUUCAGCGAGCUUAUUUGAAACAGGCAAAUCCACGUCUUUAGGACUCUUUGAUCAGUGCUGGCAAGAUUCCCAAACAACCGCAAUAAGUCGUUCCAUCCAUUUACUUAACUGCUUAUCCAGUUUUGGGUUGCUGGGAGCUGUAGCCUAUCCCAGCUGUCAUGGGGUGAGAGGCAGAUACACUCAUGACAGGUCAGCAGUCCAUCACAGGGCUAGCACAGCUAACACACCUGCAGCCAAUUUAGAAUCAGCUUAACAACCUAUUAUUUGGACUGUGUUAGGAAACUGAAGUACCCAAAGAAAACCCACACAGGCACAGAGAGAACAUGCAAAGUCCACACAGAACAUGCAGGAUUAAUGCCAUUAUUGUCCCAGUAACGUCUGGCAAGCUUAGGUAAGAUAAAAAUAGGAAUAAAAACAUUCAUAUAGCAAGAAUUUUUCUUGUUUUUAUGUAGCUUUGGUGAUUUUUGUGUGUGUGUGUUAUUGCACGUGGACCAAAGACUGUGCGGUGUACAGAAUGAUGUAGUGGCCGUUUCUUUGUCAGCUGAUGUAAUACAACACCACAAACUGCGCCAUCCUGCUUCUCACCCACACAGAGGGAGAUGUGGGACAGUGUUCUUUUCUUGACAAGCAGCUCUUCAUAUCACUUGACAAAGUAUCAGGGUGCCUGGAAGUGUUAGAUGCUGGCAUUUGCACUUAAAGCCUUCGUGAAUAGCUGCUCGGUGCCAAGCGAGGGCUUAGGCUAAAUCGAUGAUGACUGUGCCAAGAGAGAGAAUGAAAGGGUAAAUUUUGCACAGCUGUCCCUACAAAUAAGGGAGGCAAAUAUCAUUCUGAGGAGAAGCAUGUGAGUGGUCUUAGUUUCACUCAAAAACAUGAUUUGGAUAUUUUAAGAGGAUCAAAACUGUGUUAGGGGCAACUUUACUAAAAGCUGAGGGAAAAGUCACAAUAAAAUAUGUUCUGGGUAACCUAAAAAAAAAGGUUUACAGAACAAAUUAAAUGCAGUAAACUGAUUGAUGUUAAGUAGAAACACAAUGUGUUUGUGCUUUCUAGUUUUUUCCGUUAAUGACAUGCAAUAGUAGCAGCCGAAGUGCCUCAUUCGA
Molecule: long non-coding RNA, 2266 nt
Organism: Oreochromis niloticus (Nile tilapia)
Lineage: Eukaryota; Metazoa; Chordata; Actinopteri; Cichliformes; Cichlidae
Exons: 2
Source: RefSeq, a predicted model, not a curated record